GGAUGUGAGGAUGAUCUGGCUAUGACAUCUGUCACCUCAUUAAUCACCGGAAUUAAUCAGGCUGAUAAGGUUGGCUAGGUGGAUAUCCCCUUCCUCCCUCACAACUCCAUGUGCAUGUCCUUCCCAAAGCUGUGCACUCAGUUGAAGUAGAAGACCAUCCCUGCAAGAGGAGGACCAUUCUUCAGUCAAGGGUACAUCAGUAACCCCCUGCUAGAACUUCCAAACAAUCUCUCAAGGUCCAUUUGUAGGAGAACAUAAGGUAGUCAAAUUUCCAAGACUCCAGACACAUCCAAUUGAGGUGCUGCAUGUGGCAGUCUACCUUUCUUU
RNAcentral lists this small nuclear RNA (327 nucleotides) under Dasypus novemcinctus (nine-banded armadillo). Its description in RNAcentral is "7SK RNA (ENSDNOG00000028835.1)". It matches the Rfam family "7SK RNA". Rfam says of the family: 7SK was discovered as an abundant small nuclear RNA in the mid-70s but a possible function has only recently been suggested. Lineage: Eukaryota; Metazoa; Chordata; Mammalia; Cingulata; Dasypodidae. The record is from RNAcentral.